RNAcentral lists this ribosomal RNA (236 nucleotides) under Francisella tularensis subsp. holarctica. RNAcentral's name for it is "partial 23S ribosomal RNA". It matches the Rfam family "Bacterial large subunit ribosomal RNA", at positions 1217 to 1452 of the family's 2925-position model. The record is from RNAcentral. Lineage: Bacteria; Pseudomonadati; Pseudomonadota; Gammaproteobacteria; Thiotrichales; Francisellaceae.
UUAGUAUAUUGGUAGGGGAGAGUUCUGUAAGCCGAUGAAGGUGAAUUGAGAAUUUUGCUGGAGGUAUCAGAAGUGCGAAUGCUGACAUGAGUAACGUAAAAUAAGUGAGAUUCUUAUUUGCCGAAAACCCAAGGGUUCCUACGCAAUGUUAAUCAACGUAGGGUAAGCCGGCCCCUAAGUCGUAGCUGAAGAGUGAAGUCGAUGGGAAACAGGUUAAUAUUCCUGUGCUGCUUAUA